AUUGAACGCUGGCGGCAGGCCUAACACAUGCAAGUCGAGCGGACGAAGGGAGCUUGCUCCUGGAUGCAGCGGCGGACGGGCGAGUAAUUCCCAGGAAUCUGCCCGGCAGAGGGGGGUAAGGUCCGGAAACGGGAGCUAAGAUCGCAUACGUCCAGAGGGAGAACGUGGGGGAUCAACGGAGCUCACGCGACCAGAUGAGCCUAGGUGGGAUUAGCUAGUUGGUGGGGUAAAGGCCUACCAAGGCGACGAUCCGUAGCUGGUCUGAGAGGAUGAUCAGUCACACUGGAACUGAGACACGGUCCAGACUCCUACGGGAGGCAGCAGUAGGGAAUCUUGGACAAUGGGCGAAAGCCUGAUCCAGCCAUGCCGCGUGUGUGAAGAAGGUCUUCGGAUCGUAAAGCUCUGUUAGUUGGGAAGAACAUCUGUGUGAGAAUCCCUUGCUAUCUUGACGUUACCUACAGAGUAAGCCCCGGCUAACUUCGUG
This 484-nucleotide ribosomal RNA is filed under the name uncultured bacterium. RNAcentral's name for it is "partial 16S ribosomal RNA". It matches the Rfam family "Bacterial small subunit ribosomal RNA", at positions 30 to 507 of the family's 1533-position model. The record is from RNAcentral.